This 466-nucleotide ribosomal RNA is filed under the name uncultured bacterium. RNAcentral's name for it is "partial 16S ribosomal RNA". It matches the Rfam family "Bacterial small subunit ribosomal RNA", at positions 28 to 507 of the family's 1533-position model. The record is from RNAcentral.
GAUGAACGCUGGCGGCGUGCUUAACACAUGUAAGUCGAACGGAAAGGCUCCUGCUUGCAGGGGUACUCGAGUGGCGAACGGGUGAGUAACACGUGGGUGAUCUGCCCUGCACUUCGGGAUAAGCCUGGGAAACUGGGUCUAAUACCGGAUAGGACGAUGGUUUGGAUGCCAUUGUGGAAAGUUUUUGCGGUGUGGGAUGAGCUCGCGGCCUAUCAGCUUGUUGGUGGGGUAAUGGCCUACCAAGGCGUCGACGGGUAGCCGGCCUGAGAGGGUGUACGGCCACAUUGGGACUGAGAUACGGCCCAGACUCCUACGGGAGGCAGCAGUGGGGAAUAUUGCACAAUGGGCGCAAGCCUGAUGCAGCGACGCCGCGUGGGGGAUGACGGCCUUCGGGUUGUAACCUCCUUUCGCUAGGGACGAAGCGCAAGUGACGGUACCUGGAGAAGAAGCACCGGCUAACUACGUG